GAUGAACGCUGGCGGCGUGCCUAAUACAUGCAAGUCGAGCGAACGGACGAGAAGCUUGCUUCUCUGAUGUUAGCGGCGGACGGGUGAGUAACACGUGGAUAACCUACCUAUAAGACUGGGAUAACUUCGGGAAACCGGAGCUAAUACCGGAUAAUAUUUUGAACCGCAUGGUUCAAAAGUGAAAGACGGUCUUGCUGUCACUUAUAGAUGGAUCCGCGCUGCAUUAGCUAGUUGGUAAGGUAACGGCUUACCAAGGCAACGAUGCAUAGCCGACCUGAGAGGGUGAUCGGCCACACUGGAACUGAGACACGGUCCAGACUCCUACGGGAGGCAGCAGUAGGGAAUCUUCCGCAAUGGGCGAAAGCCUGACGGAGCAACGCCGCGUGAGUGAUGAAGGUCUUCGGAUCGUAAAACUCUGUUAUUAGGGAAGAACAUAUGUGUAAGUAACUGUGCACAUCUUGACGGUACCUAAUCAGAAAGCCACGGCUAACUACGUGCCAGCAGCCGCGGUAAUACGUAGGUGGCAAGCGUUAUCCGGAAUUAUUGGGCGUAAAGCGCGCGUAGGCGGUUUUUUAAGUCUGAUGUGAAAGCCCACGGCUCAACCGUGGAGGGUCAUUGGAAACUGGAAAACUUGAGUGCAGAAGAGGAAAGUGGAAUUCCAUGUGUAGCGGUGAAAUGCGCAGAGAUAUGGAGGAACACCAGUGGCGAAGGCGACUUUCUGGUCUGUAACUGACGCUGAUGUGCGAAAGCGUGGGGAUCAAACAGGAUUAGAUACCCUGGUAGUCCACGCCGUAAACGAUGAGUGCUAAGUGUUAGGGGGUUUCCGCCCCUUAGUGCUGCAGCUAACGCAUUAAGCACUCCGCCUGGGGAGUACGACCGCAAGGUUGAAACUCAAAGGAAUUGACGGGGACCCGCACAAGCGGUGGAGCAUGUGGUUUAAUUCGAAGCAACGCGAAGAACCUUACCAAAUCUUGACAUCCUUUGACAACUCUAGAGAUAGAGCUUUCCCCUUCGGGGGACAAAGUGACAGGUGGUGCAUGGUUGUCGUCAGCUCGUGUCGUGAGAUGUUGGGUUAAGUCCCGCAACGAGCGCAACCCUUAAGCUUAGUUGCCAUCAUUAAGUUGGGCACUCUAAGUUGACUGCCGGUGACAAACCGGAGGAAGGUGGGGAUGACGUCAAAUCAUCAUGCCCCUUAUGAUUUGGGCUACACACGUGCUACAAUGGACAAUACAAAGGGCAGCGAAACCGCGAGGUCAAGCAAAUCCCAUAAAGUUGUUCUCAGUUCGGAUUGUAGUCUGCAACUCGACUACAUGAAGCUGGAAUCGCUAGUAAUCGUAGAUCAGCAUGCUACAGUGAAUACGUUCCCGGGUCU
This 1372-nucleotide ribosomal RNA is filed under the name uncultured bacterium. RNAcentral describes it as "bacterial SSU rRNA". It matches the Rfam family "Bacterial small subunit ribosomal RNA", at positions 28 to 1381 of the family's 1533-position model. The record is from RNAcentral.